This is a long non-coding RNA of Xiphophorus couchianus (Monterrey platyfish), 284 nucleotides long. RefSeq lists it as uncharacterized. The transcript is spliced from 2 exons. The record is from RefSeq and is a predicted model, not a curated record. Lineage: Eukaryota; Metazoa; Chordata; Actinopteri; Cyprinodontiformes; Poeciliidae.
CGGAUCUCAGAACCAUAAUGGACUGCAGAGUGAUAAAAAAAAAUAAAAAAAUCUAAUUCAAAUCUUUCCAGGUUAAACUUCCCGCCGUUUCAGUAUAUUCUUGCUGCAUUUGAUUAGUUUCUUUUGUCAUUGUUUUUGGCCACCAUCCAGCAGAGGGCGCCACUGGUCAUCCUUAAGCGGAGCCGUUGAUACAGAAACAAAGACGCCGGAAGCCAUACCAGAACGGGAAAGAGAAACGCUGGAAGAGAGUGCAAUUCUGUUUGAAAUAAAUACUCUACAAUCUC